This 1799-nucleotide unclassified non-coding RNA is filed under the name Acromyrmex echinatior (Panamanian leafcutter ant). Its description in RNAcentral is "uncharacterized LOC105149327, transcript variant X4". The record is from RNAcentral. Lineage: Eukaryota; Metazoa; Arthropoda; Insecta; Hymenoptera; Formicidae.
GGCUACAAGAUCCAUCCUGUAAAUAUAGAUAUAUUUACAAUAUUUCUAACGUAUCAUCAUUCUCUCAUCCUUCCGUCCUUGACAUGGCGCAGUUGGUAGGACCAGAAAGAGGCGUUAGACCCAGCAAGAGGUAAAGGCAUCGAGGCGGACUAAAUUUCAAAAGAAUAAGAGGAAGAAAAGGAUAAGCUGCCUAUUAUUGAAGAAAUUUGAGGCAUACUUUCUACCAAAAGAAAAUCUUUCAUAUGAAAGAUAUAUUUUCUUCACAAUGAGACAGAAGGCGGAACAAUCCUUGGAACAAUUCGUGGUCGAACUGACAGAACAGAAGUGCAAAUUGGGAGAUCUUCAAAACAGCUUAAUCAAAUGUAUGAUCAUCUGCGGAGUUCAGAAUGUAGACAUGAGAGAGAAACUGUUACAGAAUGACUCGUUGAUGAUGGAGCUUCCUACUAAUAGCCAUACAACAACGCAAGAUCAUGGAGAAGACGAAAAUUCAAAGGAAGGAAAUGGAAGGAAUGAUAUGGCGACGACAGUAAAUGCGAUAAAAUUCAAAAAAAGGUUAGGGCAGAAACAGGUAGAGGGGGAUUAAAGGAUGUCUACCAGGAUCUUAUCACAUUAAAUUAAAAAAAAAUACGCAGCCAAUAAUACAUCUGACACGUAGAAUAGCUCUUUCGCUGUUACCAAGACUGAAAGAAUAUUUUAAAAAACUAUAAGAAAAGAUAAUUGAGAAGGUGAAUAAAGCAACAAAUUGGUAAAUGCUCUAGUUAUAACUCGUAAACCAAACGACAGUCUAAGAAUUUGUUUGGAUUUGAAAGAUUUAAAUAAUAACAUCAAGCGUAAACACUGUUUAAUACCAACGCUUGAAAAAAUCACUGUCAAAUUGGCAGGAGCUAAGGUCUUUAACACAUGCGACUCUAUACCACUAAACAAAAUUACUAUACAGUAUAAAGUCGACGCUGGAGGCUUUUAAGAAAGAUUUAGGCAAACUUUUGAAAAGUGUAAAGGAUGCGAGAUACACAUAGAUGACAUAAUCAUCUAUGGAAAGAAUAGAACGAAACAUGACGAGAGGUUAAGGGGAGUGCUGGAAACGGCAAAGGAAAAUAAAGUCAAAUUCAAUUUAAGUAUCAAGAAAUUGCAAACUCCAAAGGACAAGGAUGGCGUACAACGAGCGUAAUGCUAACAUAUGUGAGCAAAUUCAUACCAAAAUUUUCGUAUGAAAUUACAGCACUGAGAAACCUUUUAAAGGAAGAUGUAAUUUUUAUGCGGGGCCCAAAACAAAAGGCAUUAAAGUCUUUGAAAAAUAAAUUAAUAACUAAUCCCGUGUUGUAAUUCUUUGAUAUUAACAAGGACACAGUAAUUUCAGUACAUAGUUCUAUAGCAGGCGUGGGAGUUUUAUUACAAACAAUUUACCAUGUGCGUAUGCCUCCAAGGCAUUAACAAAAAUUCAACAGAGAUAUGUGCAAAUAGAAAAAGAAAUAGCAGCCAUAUGGUUCGGAUUAAGGCUCCUGACUACUCAGCCAAGAACUCUGCGUUGACGGUGGCGAUACAGAAUCAGACGGCGGUCUGGCGAAACCGGUAGCCACACACUUAAGCACGAGCCCGUGUGCUCGCCUGUGGCGCACCGAGAAUGAAUGAGACAGCGAGUUCCUUCUCACAUUAAUAACUUGUUUCAAGCGACCGAAAAUGCUUUCUCGGCAAUCUUGGCCGCUAGGCAUCAAUAAGGGGAGAGAGGCAUUCUAAUAUGUAAGUUUUAAUAAAUUAUAAUAAUAGUCCCUCUUUUUAAUCCAGAAUAAUAUAAAUCAUGU